GCUUGGUCCUGUUUGUGGGUGAGUCCCAGAAAGAGGGCCAAUUAUCUACAAAUUCUAUCUUUUGGGAGGGGCAGAAAACAGUUUUCAACCAGCGAUUGAGUUGUGAGACUCUGCUGUAGAGCUCAUCACUCCCCCUAACUGGGAGGGGGCCAUAGACAAUUAAUCGAUGCCGACACAUCUUUCUAGCUGAUUUACACGCUGAAGCUAUGUUGCGCUUGGUGACCUCUGACUGUUUCAUCCUAACAUCGUUGGUGCCGACGUGGAUAACAAUAUCUCUAUACUCUCUACACUCGCCAGUUUUAGCUUUAGCCAGCACCGUCUUUAGAUUAGCCUUAACGUCGGUAGCCCUGCCCCCUGGUAAACAGUGUAUGAUCGCUGGAUGAUUAGUUUUAAGUCUAAUACUGCGGGUAAUGGAGUCGCCAAUGACUAGGGUUUUCAAUUUGUCAGAGCUAAUGGUGGGAGCCGUCGGCGUCUCAGACCCCACAACGGGAGGAGCAGAGACCAGAGAAGUCUCGGCCUCCGACUCCGACUCGCUUAAUGGGGAGAUCCGGUUGAAAGUUUCUGUCGGCUGAAUAAGCGACACCGGUUGAGCAUUCCUACAGCAUUUCCCUCCAGAAGCCAUGAGAAAGUUGUCUGGCUGUGGGGACCGUGCGAGGGGGUUUAUACUAACGUUACUAUCUGUACUUACUGGUGGCACAGACGCUGUUUCAUCCUUUCCUACACUGAAAUUGCCCUUGCCUAACGAUUGCGUCUGAAGCUGGGCUUGCAGCACAGCUAUCCUUGCUGUAAGGCGAUCGUUCUCCUGUAUAUUAUAAGUACAACGACUGCAAUUAGAAGGCAUCAUGAUAAUGUUACUUAGCUUCGGCUGUUUGAAGUCCUGACGAACCAUGUCCAGAUAAAACCUCCGGCGUAAAAAAAGUUGAAUGAAAAAAGUUGAGUGAGGGAAAAAGUAAAAAUAUACGGUAAUGAAAAAGUAAAAACCGUCAGGUAGCAAAGUAAGUAUUGGCAGGCAAUCUAACGUGUGUGUUUGUGUGUAUUUGUAGUGCUCUGUCCCCUGUGGAGACAGUUGUGUUUCAUCUUGGCUCUUUUUAUUGAAGACUGAGGAUCUUUGCUAUAACGUGACACUUCCUACGGCUCCCAUAGGCUCUCAGAGCCCGGAAAAAGCUGAACGAUAUCGAGGCAGCCUCUGGCUGAAACACUUUAUCGCGUUUGGCAAGUGGCCGAUCAGAGUACUAUGGGCUUAGGCGCGUGCCUGAGUCGACCCCAUGCUUUAUUUUCUUUCGUCUGUUUACCUAAACGCAGAUUCCCGGUCGGAAUAUUAUCGCUUUUUUAUGAGAAAAAUGGCAUAAAAAUGUAUUUUAAACAGCGGUUGACAUGCUUCGAAGUACGGUAAUGGAAUAUUUCGAAUUUUUUGGUCACGAAUUGCGCCAUGCUCGUCACCCUUAUUUACCCUUUCGGAUAGUGUCUUGAACGCACAAACAAAACGCCGCUAUUUGGAUAUAACAAUGGAUUAUUUUGAACCAAACCAACAUUUGUUAUUGAAGUAGAACUCCUGGGAGUGCAUUCUGACGAAGACAGCAAAGGUAAUAACAUUUUUCUUAUAGUAAAUCUGACUUUGGUGAGUGCUAAACUUGCUGGGUGUCUAAAUAGCUAGCCCUGUGAUGCCGGGCUAUCUACUGAGAAAAUUGCAAAAUGUGCUUUCACCGAAAAGCUAUUUUAAAAUCGGACAUAUCCGGUGCAUAGAGGAGUUCUGUAUCUAUAAUUCUUAAAAUAAUUGUUAUGCUUUUUGUGAACGUUUAUCGUGAGUAAUUUAGUAAAUUCACCGGCAGUGUUCGGUGGGAAUGGUAGUCACAUGCUAGUCACAUGCUAAUGUAAAAAGCUGGUUUUUGAUAUAAAUAUGAACUUGAUUGAACAAAACAUGCAUGUAUUGUAUAACAUAAUGUCCUAGGGUUGUCAUCUGAUGAAGAUCAUCAAAGGUUAGUGCUACAUUUAGCUGUGGUUUGGGUUUAUGUGACAUUAUAUGCUAGCUUGAAAAAUGGGUGUCUGAUUAUUUCUGGCUGGGUACUCUGCUGACAUAAUCUAAUGUUUUGCUUUCGUUGUAAAGCCUUUUUGAAAUCGGACAGUGUGGUUAGAUUAACGAGAGUCUUGUCUUUAAAAUGGUGUAAAAUAGUCAUAUGUUUGAAAAAUUGAAGUUUUUGCAUUUUUGAAUAACGCGCCACGGGAUUACACUGGCUGUUGAGUAGGUGGGACGAUUCAUACCCUAGAGAGGUUAAGGAUUCUCAUGUACUAAACAACCAAAGAUUUCAAGAUUAAAGGCUCUUUUAUACUACAUUUACAUUUUAGUCAUUUAGCAGACACUCUUAUCCAGAGUGACUUUUCAUUUCAUGUAUUCUUUUAUUUUAUUGUUUUGUACUGGCCCCCCGUGGGAAUCGAACCCACAACCCUGGCGUUGCACACACCAUGCUGGCAUUGCAAACACCAUGCUCUACCAACUGAGCCACUGAAGACAUGAGUAUAAGUUACAUCACCAGGAAGAGCUGAUUUAUAUAAAAGCCCAUAAUAAUCUCCAAUUAAUUGUCAACAUGCACAAUUAGUAUGUACUUCAGUAUGAUCAACUGUAGCCUACUUAUGAAAACCACAGCUGCAGGUAGCCUAGCCUGUUUACUCUGAUCCCAUCUGGGCCAGGGGUAACGUAACAUCAUGUUUUAAUGGACUAAGUUAUGUAUUUAUAGCCUUUAUUUGUGUUCUGAGAAAAUGUGAAUGUGAUUGAAUUUGGUUUAUAUUUACACUUCGGGUGUAUUACUGAAAUUAAUCAAUCAACACAAUAGUGAUGACAUACUGUAUGAGUAUAUUUUUAAUUACAUAUCCAAAGGCCUACCCGAUGCAAUCCUGCAUACAAUGAGCUCAGCCCUGUUCGUUUUUUUAUCCAAUGACAGUUGUUGUCUCUUUGUCUGUGUAAAGGGUUUAAUUGUUUUCAUCGUCCCUAGGGCCAUAUAAAGUUGUUUUUUUGUACAGCUGAUUCAUUACUAUGUCAUAUGCUACAACUAGGGUCCGGAGUUGGUUAGGUUAGCCGACUACUAGAUCAGGAAAAGCUCUGGGCCCCAGGAAAACAAUCUCCCCCCACCACUCUAGGACCUGUGGGACCACCUCUGAAAUCACCACACAAUGUUACAAAUUAAAAAUAUGUCCUAUUUGUAUGAUCUACUUUUGUAUGUUUUUAGGUGGUGGGGAUGGGCUUCCAUAGUUUUACGUGGCUCAGUGCAGGCUAGCAGGCUGUUACUGCAGUUUCAGAAUGUAACAGGCUGUUACUGCAGUUUCAGAAUGUAGCAGGCUGUUACUGCAGUUUCAGAAUGUAGCAGGCUGUUACUGCAGUUUCAGAAUGUAACAGGCUGUUACUGCAGUUUCAGAAUGUAACAGGCUGUUACAACAAUUUCAGGUAAAAACGGAAUAAAACAAGUCUCAAAUACACUGCGUGCACAAUUAUUUGGCAAGUGAGUAUUCUGAACUUAUCGUUAUUUCUAUUCACAUUUUCGAACUCCAAACCAUAUAAACUUGAAUGCUUAUUGGAUUUAAUCAUUUUCAGGUGAUAUGUAACAGGCUGUUACUGCAGUUUCAGAAUGUAACAGGCUGUUACAACAAUUUCAGGUAAAAACGGAAUAAAACAAGACCUCAAAUACACUGCGUGCACAAUUAUUUGGCAAGUGAGUAUUCUGAACUUAUCGUUAUUUCUAUUCACAUUUUCGAACUCCAAACCAUAUAAACUUGAAUGCUUAUUGGAUUUAAUCAUUUUCAGGUGAUAUGUAUUUGUGUAAUGAGGGAGGGUGUGGCGAAAGUGAAUAACACCUUAUAUCAAGGUGUGCAUAAUUAAUAGGCAGCCUCAUUACCUCAGGUAAAAUGGGGCUGAGGUUUAAUGAGAUUUAACUGACACUGAAAAGCCAAAAAUGUAAAAUGCCUUUCAGACGGACGCGACACUCUUUAAAUAGCUAAACUAUUGAGGCGUGACCACCGGACAAUCAAACGUUUUGUUGCGAAUAGUCAACUGGGGCGCAAAAAAACGUAUGUGGAAGAAAAGGCGCAAAUUAACUGCAAAAGACUUGAGAAGAAUUAAACGUCAAACUACCAGGAACCCAUUAUCCUCCAGUGCCACCAUAUUCCAGAACUGCAACCUACCUGGAGUGUUCAAAAGUACAAGGUGUCAAGUGCUCAGAGACAUGACCAAGGUCAAGAAGACUGAAACAAGACCACCACUGAAUAAGAUUCACAAGUUGAAGCGUCAAGAUUGGGCAAAGAAAUACCUGAAGACAGAUUUUUCAAAGGUUUUAUGGACAGAUGAAAUGAAAGUGACUUUUGAUGGACCAAAUGGAUGGGCCCGUGGCUGGAUCAGUAAUGGACACAGGGCACCACUUUGAGUCAGGUGCCAGCAAGGUGAAGGAGGGGUACUGGUAUGGGCUGCUAUCAUUGAGGAUGAGGUAGUUGGACCUUUUCGGCUUGAAGAUGGACUGAAACUCAACUCCCAAACCUACUGCCAGUUUCUGGAAGAUUAUUUUGUCAAACAGUGGUGCAGGAAGAAGUCCUCAGCAUUCUAUAAGGCCAUGAUCUUUAUGCAGGACAAUGUUCCAUCACAUGCAUCCAAGUACUCCACUGCUUGGCUAGCCAGCAAGGACCUCAAAGAUGCCUGAAUAACGACCUGGCCCCCUUCCUCACCUGACUUAAAUCCUAUUGAGAACUUGUGGUCCCUCCUCAAACGUGAGAUUUACAGUGAGGGAAGACAAUACACCUCUUUGAACAGCAUUUGGGAGGCUGUGGUUGCUGCUUCAGCGAAAAUUGAUCGUGAACAGAUCAAGAAACUGACAGACUCCAUGGAUGGAAGGCUCAUGGCAGUUCUUGAAAAUAAGGGUGGCUAUAUUGGUCACUGAAUAUUUUUGGAAGGCCAAAAAUGUUAUAUAAUUGUCAUUUUGUGUUACUUAUCUGUUACACUUACUCUAAAAAUUGAGAAUCAACAAGUGAGUUGAGAGAAAUUAUUUUUGUAAUUUAGUUGCCUAAUAAUUGUGCACACUAAUGGUUGCCUAAUAAUUGUGCACACUGAUAUAUUUCCCUGGGAAAGACAAAACUCACGUUUCCUUUGUUAAACAUUCAGAUUUGAGGUUCAAUAACAUUUUGGAUUGACUGAGAGCAUUGUGUUUGUUCAACAAUAAAAUUAAUCCUGAGGAAUACAAUUUGCCUAACAAUUGUGCACGCAGUGUAUAAGGAAAAUGUCUAUACAUUUCAGUUGCCCUGCUUCAAGGGGGGCAACUGUCGGGCGAGUGAGAGAAGAGACAUUUUGGCCCCUCAACAAGGGCUAGGAUGAUUAACCCAUAAAAGUCUUCCAUGUGGCCAGAGGUGACAGAGAGCACAUAGUUUAGUGUCUACACUGAAUCAUGUAUUUCAGAAUUUUUACUCCUACAAGGCAUUUCUGUAUCACAUGCCUACAUACAGUAGCUAUAUUCUGGUAACUCAACCGUUCUGAUUCAUUUUAAUAACUAUCCAUGCAAUGAACCUCAGCUUCUCUGUCUCAUCAUUAGUUAUUUGAUAUGGUCUCUUUUGUGGACAUUCCUAACUUUUGACAUUAGUAUGAUACAGCCCAUUUCUGACAUUUUAGCACAAAUUCAAGUCUUAGGGAAAUUACACAGCAUCAUUGCAAAUUAGUUUUGAGUCAUCCCACUGGCAAAUACAUACUAUACAACAGCAUCAUACAUUUGCGUUGGAAAUACAAAUAGAGUUGAAGUCAUUAAAACUCGUUUUUCAACCACUCCACACAUUUCUUCUUAACAAACUAUAGUUUUGGUAAGUCGGUUAGGACAUCGACUUAGUGCAUGACACAAGUCACUUUUCCAACAAUUGUUUACAGACAGAUUAUUUCACUUAUAAUUCACUGUAUCACAAUUCCAAUGGGUCAGAAGUUUACAUACACUAAGUUGACUGUGCCUUUAAACAGCUUGGAAAAUUACUGAAAAUUAUGUCAUGGCUUUAGAAGCUUCUGAUAGGCUAAUUGACAUAAUUUGAGGAUAUUGGCGGUGUACCUGUGGAUGUAUUUCAAGGCCUAUCUUCAAACUCAGUGCCUCUUUGCUUGACAUCAUGGGAAAAUCAAAAGAAAUCAGUCAAGACCUCAGAAAAAAAAUGUAGACCUCCACAAGUCUGGUUCAUACUUGGGAGCAAUUUCCAAAUGCCUGAAGGCACCACGUUCAUCUGUACAAACAAUAGUACGCAAGUAUAAAGACCAUGGGACCACGCAGCCGCCGUACCGCUCAGGAAGGAGAUGCGUUCUGUCUCCUAGAGAUGAACGUACUUUGGUGCAAGAAGUGCAAAUCAAUCCCAGAACAACAGCAAAGGACCUUGAGAAGAUGCUGGAGGAAACAGGUACAAAAGUAUCUAUAUCCACAGUAAAACGAGUCCUAUAUCGACAUAACCUGAAAGGCCGCUCAGCAAGGAAGAAGCCACUGCUCCAAAACCGCCAUAAAAAAAGCUACGGUUUGCAACUGCACAUGGGGACAAAGAUCGUACUUUUUGGAGAAAUGUCCUCUGGUCUGAUGAAGCAGAAAUAGAACUGUUUGGCCAUAAUGACCAUCAUUAUGUUUGGAGGAAAAAGGGGGAAGCUUGCAAGCCGAAGAACACCAUCCCAACCGUGAUGCACGGGGGUGGCAGCAUCAUGUUGUGGGGGUGUUUUGCUGCAGGGGGGACUGGUGCACUUCACUUCACACUGGUGCACUUCAUAGAUGGCAUCAUGAGGGAGGAAAAUUGAAGCAACAUCUCAAGACAUCAGUCAGGAAGUUAAAGCUUUGUCACAAAUGGGUCUUCCAAAUGGACAAUGACCCCUAGCAUACUUCCAAAGUUGUGGCAAAAUGGCUUGAGGACAACAAAAUCAAGGUACUGGAGUGGCCAUCACAACACCCUGACCUCAUGCCUGUAGAAAAUGUGUGGGCUGAACUGAAAAAUCAUGUGCGAGCAAGGAGGCCUACAAACCUGAUACAGUUACACCAGAUCUGUCAGGAGGAAUGGGCCAAAAUUCACCCAACUUAUCAUGGGAAGCUUGUGGAAGGCUACCUGAAAAGUUUGACCCAAGUUAAACAAUUUAAAGGCAAUAAUACCAAAUACUAAUUGAGUGUAUGUAAAUGUCUGACCCACUGGGAAUGUGAUGAAAGAAUUAACAGCUGAAAUAAAUCAUUCUUUCUUCUAUUAUUCUGACAUUUCACAUUCUUAAAAUAAAGUGAUGAUCCUAACUGACCUAAGACAGGGAAUUUUUACUAGGAUUAAAUGUCAGGAAUUGUGAAAAACUGAGUUUAAAUGUAUUUGGCUAAGGUGCAUGUAAACUUUCGACAUCAACU
RNAcentral lists this long non-coding RNA (7361 nucleotides) under Salmo salar (Atlantic salmon). RNAcentral's name for it is "lncRNA (ENSSSAG00000118888.1)". Lineage: Eukaryota; Metazoa; Chordata; Actinopteri; Salmoniformes; Salmonidae. The record is from RNAcentral.